Molecule: long non-coding RNA, 1244 nt
Organism: Peromyscus maniculatus bairdii (prairie deer mouse)
Lineage: Eukaryota; Metazoa; Chordata; Mammalia; Rodentia; Cricetidae
Source: RefSeq, a predicted model, not a curated record
UGCCUGCCUCCAGGCCCGCCUUCUUUGCGGGGGGCCCUAGUCCGGGUGGGGGAGGAAUCACCACCUUCUCCGAGCUUCCAGGCCGGGGACCUUCCGGUCCAUCUCAGAUCAUUGCUACCGAGUCCAGAACAGUCCAACGACAGGGGACAGGACCAUGCCUAAUGGCAGGAGGGGGUCCGGGUCCCCAGCUCCUUCAACUAGGUACACAGACAGAAAGGAGGGGGACCCAGAGAGAUGGGGACAAAAAUAAAGAAUCUAGGCAGAGAAGACAGCAAGAAUGAGGCCGUUGGGCCUAUGUGAUGGCUCAGUGUGUAAAGGUGCUUGUGGCUAAGCCUGGCGAUAUGAGUUCAAUCUUUGGGACCCCCAUGGUGAAAGGAGAGGACAGACUCCCACAAAUUGUCUUCUGCUUUUCACACAUGAACUGUGGCACUUACACACACAAACACAAAAUAAAUAAACGCAAUUAAUCGCUUUUUUAAUGAUAUUAUCUUCCACAGGCCUCCAAGACUUUCCUGAACUUCCAGGCCCUCCCUUCACACAGGAACAUGCACGCACACACACUAUCCCUCCCACCUCACUGUCUUCCCCCAUUCUGCCUUUCUCCCUCUUUUAAUGAAGACCCUGCUGUCCUCCUGGCCAUGAUGUGAGCAGCAUCUCUCACCUCAGGGCCUCGGCAACGACUCUUCCCAAGGUCUAGUUCAAUGGUUCUCAACCUUCCUAACGCUGCUACCCUUUAAUACAGUUCCUCAGGUUGUGGUGACCCCCAGCCAUACAAUUAUUUCCUUUGCUACUUCAUAACUGUAAUUUUCCUACUGUUAUGAAACAUAGUGCAAAUAUCCGAUAUGCAACCCUUGUGAAAAGGUCAUGACCCACCUCUGGUUGAAUGCCAGCUUGGUGAGGUCCCUCCUGAUCAUUCCCUGACCCUUUCUGGUUUUCUUUCCUUCUUUAAUUUUGUCCUUGGCAUGUGGCACUGUAUCCCCCAUCGUGUAUUUUCCUUAUCAUGUCUAUCCCCUCCAUUGGGGUGCCACUUUCACAUAGGGGAGUGGUGUGUGUGUGUGUGUGCAUGUGCACACGUGUGCAGGCCAGUGUCUCCCUCUACCACUCUCCACAUCAUUUUUUACACUGUGUCUCUCAUUUAACCUGAAGCUCAUCAUUUUGGCUAAGCUGGCUGGUCACAGAGCCUCCAGGCAGGCGCCUCCCAUCCCUGCCCCUCAGUGCUGGGAUUACAAACACAUGCCACUGUA